CAGCAGUGGGGAAUAUUGCACAAUGGGGGAAACCCUGAUGCAGCCAUGCCGCGUGUGUGAAGAAGGCCUUCGGGUUGUAAAGCACUUUCAGUAGGGAGGAAGGUAGUGUAGUUAACACCUGCAUUAUUUGACGUUACCUACAGAAGAAGCACCGGCUAACUCCGUGCCAGCAGCCGCGGUAAUACGGAGGGUGCGAGCGUUAAUCGGAAUUACUGGGCGUAAAGCGCAUGCAGGCGGCCUGUUAAGUCAGAUGUGAAAGCCCGGGGCUUAACCUCGGAAUUGCAUUUGAAACUAGGCAGGCUAGAGUCUUGUAGAGGGGGGUAGGAAUUUCAGGUGUAGCGGUGAAAUAGCGUAGAGAUCUGAAGGAAUACCAGUGGCGAAGGCGGCCCCCUGGACAAAGACUGACGCUCAGAUGCGAAAGCGUGGGGAGCAAACAGGAUUAGAUACCCUGGUAG
RNAcentral lists this ribosomal RNA (455 nucleotides) under uncultured bacterium. RNAcentral describes it as "bacterial SSU rRNA". It matches the Rfam family "Bacterial small subunit ribosomal RNA", at positions 349 to 793 of the family's 1533-position model. The record is from RNAcentral.